AAACGAUUCACCCUUUUGAUUGGCGUCAGGUAUCUCUUACCUAUCUGGGUAUAAUUAACUAAAAAUACAUUUCUUUUGUUUAAGGAAAAUCACACAGCUUUGUUAUAUAGUUUAGAAGGUCAAAUGAGCAAGUGGGGGGAUUCGGGAGUGUCAUGGCCGGGACAUGUGGACUCUCUUAAAAUGAUGAUCCUGCCCCAUAUUCUAUAUCUCUUCCACACUCUACCUAUUGCCGUACGUAAUGCAAUGUUAAAACAAUUUCAACAACGUAUCAAUGCGUAUAUAUGGAUUUAG
Pelobates cultripes (western spadefoot toad) is the source of this 291-nucleotide non-coding RNA. The record is from the annotation of a GenBank genome assembly. NCBI's taxonomy places the organism in Eukaryota, Metazoa, Chordata, Amphibia, Anura, Pelobatidae.